UCUAUCUAACACAAGCAGAGCACAGAAUACAGAAGAAGCUCAAGCUAUAUUAUUGUUAACUCUACUCCUAUAUCUCCUAUCCUGCAGUAGCUCUCCAUAUAUGGGAAAGGCUGAUCCAGAUGAUUCUAUUUCAUUGUCACAUGCAAUGUGCUUUGUUGGAUUGACUGUGAUUUCCAUGAUUAAUGAGGUAAUUUUUCUCUUUGUAUUUGUAGUGGACAUUUUGUAUCAUAGAGAAGGUACCAUUUUAUAAUCCCAAUGGAUGAUGGGUGGGCAAUCAUAAACCCUUAAAUGAAGAAGCUCUUGAUGAUCAUGG
This 313-nucleotide long non-coding RNA is filed under the name Medicago truncatula (barrel medic). RNAcentral describes it as "long non-coding RNA (MTRU_LNC005946)". The record is from RNAcentral. Lineage: Eukaryota; Viridiplantae; Streptophyta; Magnoliopsida; Fabales; Fabaceae.